Molecule: long non-coding RNA, 356 nt
Organism: Stomoxys calcitrans (stable fly)
Lineage: Eukaryota; Metazoa; Arthropoda; Insecta; Diptera; Muscidae
Exons: 3
Source: RefSeq, a predicted model, not a curated record
CCAAUAGAAGAGAGCGCGAGAGAGAGAGCAAAUUUUGACAGUUAGAGAAAAGAGAACCUGCAAAUUUCUACUGGGACUUUUUUGCCAGCAGAAAUUUGCAACUUUGGACAAAUGUUUUUUAAAGGUCAGCUGUUUUAUGAAAAGCAGCAGUUACAUGAAAAUACAAAAGCUAACGACAAAAUGGAUCAAAAAGGCAGAGCUAGUGUGCAGCUACAGAAAACUCGACAAAUAAAGUUGUAAUUUCAAGUCGGGUAUUCUACAUUAGAAGAAAGUGAACGGCUCCAGAACGCUGUAUGCCAGGCAAAAACCACAUUGGAUGUGUCAACAGCAAACGCUCCACCAGACCCAAGUCACAG